AGUCUGCAACUCGACCACAUGAAGCUGGAAUCGCUAGUAAUCGCAGAUCAGAAUGCUGCGGUGAAUACGUUCCCGGGUCUUGUACACACCGCCCGUCACACCAUGGGAGUCGGAAAUGCCCGAAGCCGGUGACCAAACCAAUAAGGAAGGAGCCGUCGAAGGCAGGUCUGAUAACUGGGGUGAAGUCGUAACAAGGUACC
Molecule: ribosomal RNA, 200 nt
Filed under: uncultured bacterium
Lineage: Bacteria
Description: partial 16S ribosomal RNA
Rfam family: Bacterial small subunit ribosomal RNA
Source: RNAcentral